Molecule: long non-coding RNA, 299 nt
Organism: Harpia harpyja (harpy eagle)
Lineage: Eukaryota; Metazoa; Chordata; Aves; Accipitriformes; Accipitridae
Exons: 3
Source: RefSeq, a predicted model, not a curated record
CUAGUCCUACCUGCUUAUUAUCCAACAGGACCUGGCACUCAGCCUGUUCCUGAGGGACAGAAGAGGCAGCAAAAGCUAAGGUAAAAAUGGGUGGAAAUUAUGAAGUGAAGCAGCAACCGGAUUUGGGAAAUUGUAGAAGUAUCCUAGGAUCACAUUGUAUCUCUAUGCAGAAGAGCAGAAGGUCAUUUUCAGUCCAGAUUUUCUUCUACAACUUGCCAUCUCUUUCUAGUUGGGGUCUGGACACCACAGCCUAAGCAGAUGAACUGACGCUUAACCCCAGAAAUGAAAGACAAAGAAAG